CAGCAGCCGCGGUAACACGUAGGGGGCGAGCGUUGUCCGAAGUUACUGGGCGUAAAGCGCGCGUAGGCGGCUUCUUAAGUCUGAGGUGAAAGGUUCAACGCUUAACGUGAACAGUGCCUUGGAUACUGGGGAGCUUGAGUAUGGGAGAGGGCAGUGGAAUGGCUGGUGUAGCGGUGAAAUGCGUAGAUAUCAGUCGGAACACCCAUGGCGAAGGCAGCUGCCUGGCCUAAUACUGACGCUGAGGUGCGAAAGCGUGGGGAGCGAACGGGAUUAGAUACCCCGGUAGUCCCUGUCUCUUAUA
Molecule: ribosomal RNA, 301 nt
Filed under: uncultured bacterium
Lineage: Bacteria
Description: partial 16S ribosomal RNA
Rfam family: Bacterial small subunit ribosomal RNA
Source: RNAcentral